This 500-nucleotide non-coding RNA is filed under the name uncultured Glomus. RNAcentral's name for it is "SSU rRNA". It matches the Rfam family "Eukaryotic small subunit ribosomal RNA", at positions 591 to 1092 of the family's 1831-position model. Lineage: Eukaryota; Fungi; Glomeromycota; Glomeromycetes; Glomerales; Glomeraceae. The record is from RNAcentral. RNAcentral also lists the same sequence under 1 other name.
CCAAUAGCGUAUAUUAAAGUUGUUGCAGUUAAAAAGCUCGUAGUUGAAUUUCGGGAUCAAUAUGUCGGUCGUGCCUUCGGUACGUACUGGUAUCAUUGGUCUCUCCUUUCUGACGAACCAUGAUGUCAUUAAUUUGGUGUUAUGGGGAGUUAGGACUGUUACUUUGAAAAAAUUAGAGUGUUUAAAGCAGGCUUUAGCUUGAAUACAUUAGCAUGGAAUAAUGAAAUAGGACGUUCGAACCUAUUUUGUUGGUUUCUAGGAUCAACGUAAUGAUUAAUAGGGAUAGUUGGGGGCAUUAGUAUUCAAUUGUCAGAGGUGAAAUUCUUGGAUUUAUUGAAGACUAACUACUGCGAAAGCAUUUGCCAAGGAUGUUUUCAUUAAUCAAGAACGAAAGUUAGGGGAUCGAAGACGAUCAGAUACCGUCGUAGUCUUAACCAUAAACUAUGCCGACUAGGGAUCGGAUGAUGUUAAUUUUUUAAUGACUCAUUCGGCGCCUUACG